Long non-coding RNA from Eurytemora carolleeae, 658 nucleotides. RefSeq lists it as uncharacterized. The record is from RefSeq and is a predicted model, not a curated record. NCBI's taxonomy places the organism in Eukaryota, Metazoa, Arthropoda, Copepoda, Calanoida, Temoridae. The transcript is spliced from 2 exons.
GAACAGGGUUAACUCAAUAUCCUAUUAAGGUUAAUCCUGAUGACUAUCUGCCCAGUGUGAUGACCUGCGCGAACUACCUCAAACUACCCGACUAUUCAUCCAGAGAAAUCAUGAACGAUAAACUGAGGUUGGCAGCUGCUGAGGGACAAUACUAUUUCCAUCUUUCAUAGGACAUCAGACAGGACAAACUGUUCUAUAGAGAGGACAACACGUUCUAUAGAGCUAGGACAACCUGUACUAUCGAGGGAAAUGUGAGGACAAGCUAUCUAAUUGUCCUAGAGAUGACAAGCUGCCUUUUCUAAAGGACUACUUGUAAUAUCCAGUGGAUAUCAAGAGAACCUUUGUCUUAUCUGGAGAACAAAUUGUCUUGUCUUGAGAACAAAUUGUCAUAUCUGAAAGACAAAUGGUCAUAUCUAUAGGACAAAUUGUCAUAUCCAAAGGACUCAAGUAUCCUCAUUUUAAAACCAGAGCCCCGAAAAAGAAUCCUAAAUUUAGGACUUUUUUAAUCGAUAGUUUAUAUAUCGCCGAUUUUAUGAAAAUUCUCUCUUAAGCCCUAAUUAGAAAAUUGAGAUUGUUGGAUGAAUAUGUUUAUAUGUAAUACAUAUGCUUCAUUUGUGUAUUAAUAUUGUCGCUGUAAAUCAACCGCCAUUUUCCAAAG